RNAcentral lists this ribosomal RNA (253 nucleotides) under uncultured bacterium. RNAcentral describes it as "partial 16S ribosomal RNA". It matches the Rfam family "Bacterial small subunit ribosomal RNA", at positions 524 to 776 of the family's 1533-position model. The record is from RNAcentral.
UACGUAGGGGGCUAGCGUUGUCCGGAUUUAUUGGGCGUAAAGAGCGUGUAGGCGGCCAGGUAGGUCUGCUGUGAAAACUCGAGGCUUAACCUCGAGCUGUCGGCGGAAACCAUCUGGCUAGAGUCCGGGAGAGGAGAGUGGAAUUCCUGGUGUAGCGGUGAAAUGCGCAGAUAUCAGGAAGAACACCCGUGGCGAAAGCGGCUCUCUGGAACGGUACUGACGCUGAGACGCGAAAGCGUGGGGAGCGAACAGG